Molecule: long non-coding RNA, 1142 nt
Organism: Nomia melanderi (Alkali bee)
Lineage: Eukaryota; Metazoa; Arthropoda; Insecta; Hymenoptera; Halictidae
Source: RefSeq, a predicted model, not a curated record
UUGUGCCGCUUCCUGUAGUGUGUUAUUAUUAUCCCUUUCUCGCGGGAUAUAAAAUCUCGAUCGAUUUCGUGAGCGUACAGUAUUUCGGAAACGCUUUGUACAUGAUUUUUAUGUGAAUUACGCGUUACUUUUUCGUCCUUCCGUUUUUUUAUUUAAAAAUGUAAAUAGAAAUGUUUGAGGAAAAGUGUGCUUCGGUUACAUCACGUUUAAUGUGUAAAAAGGAUAUAGAACUAUUUCGACCCAGUUUUGCAACCAAGGCUUAUGUUUAAUUUUUUAAGAAAAUUUAUACAAAUUUUGUGUAAUUCAAUAAUUAAAUUUUUUGAAAAAAUAAAUGAAGCUAUACGUGUUCGUAAAAUAUGAUACGAAUAGUCACCCGUGCUGCAAAAAUAGAAGACUAAACUGUUUGUGUAUUACUCGUGAAAAGUGAUAAUUAAUAGUGUUUUAAUAAUGGAGAAUAAUUGAACAUUGGAUAACUGGAACACUCAACAGAACCAGAAGAUUGCAAUUAUGAAGAGGUAGAAUCGAUUUGAUCUCAAGAAAUGAAGAUUUUAGCAUAACGGACGUAGAAAAGCACAACACGAGUGAAGGAAAAAGAAAGACUGAGAGUCGAACCGAUAUACAUAGAAAGGGACAAUAAUCGGAUUAUGUUACACUCUUCAACCGCGAUUGGUUGUCGAGUGCCGUGGUAUGUUAAAAGAAACUCGCUGAGGAUAUGGUGGGGAUGACGACGUUGCAAUUAUGAAGAGGUCUCCGAUGUUACUAUUAUCCAAAGUUUACUAUACAAUUCUUCGGUUUUGAAUGAUGAACAUAAUCAUAGCAACAAACCUUCGGUGGUUCUUGCGGUGGGGGCGCAGGUGCAUUUGGAUCUUCAACCACUUCAUCUUUGGCUUCGAAUUGUCCGGACCGGAACAAUUCUAGUUCGACUUUCUCCACCUCCGGCUUCAACCUUUUAUUUUUUAUUAAUAUUUUGCGCUUUAGUGCACUUGGUGGUGGAAGCGGUUGCCCUGGUUCGAGCUGUAACAUUUAGUUUACGAUUACAAAAUAAAGAAUUAUUAGGCCCUUACAUAAACAAUGCAGUUUUUUAUAUUUCUUUUAUUUUUAAUAAUAGAGAUAGACAAAAUUGUUUUUAAUCUGAAACAUAU